Molecule: unclassified non-coding RNA, 146 nt
Filed under: soil metagenome
Description: partial internal transcribed spacer 1
Source: RNAcentral
UAAUAAGUGUUUUAUGGCACUUUUUAAAUCCAUAUCCACCUUGUGUGCAAUGUCAGUCGAUCUUCUUUCAUGGAGAUCGACCAAACAUCAACCUUUAUCCUUUAACUCUUUGUCUGAAAAAUAUUAUGAAUAAACAAUUCAAAAUA